Molecule: ribosomal RNA, 869 nt
Filed under: Wolbachia pipientis
Lineage: Bacteria; Pseudomonadati; Pseudomonadota; Alphaproteobacteria; Rickettsiales; Anaplasmataceae
Description: bacterial SSU rRNA
Rfam family: Bacterial small subunit ribosomal RNA
Source: RNAcentral
UAUAACUUAGUGGCAGACGGGGUGAAGUAAUGUAUAGGGAAUCUACCUAGUAGUACGGAAUAAUUGUUGGAAACGACAACUAAUACCGUAUACGCCCUACGGGGGAAAAAUUUAUUGCUAUUAGAUGAGCCUAUAUUAGAUUAGCUAGUUGGUGGGGUAAUAGCCUACCAAGGUAAUGAUCUAUAGCUGAUCUGAGAGGAUGAUCAGCCACACUGGAACUGAGAUACGGUCCAGACUCCUACGGGAGGCAGCAGUGGGGAAUAUUGGACAAUGGGCGAAAGCCUGAUCCAGCCAUGCCGCAUGAGUGAAGAAGGCCUUUGGGUUGUAAAGCUCUUUUAGUGAGGAAGAUAAUGACGGUACUCACAGAAGAAGUCCUGGCUAACUCCGUGCCAGCAGCCGCGGUAAUACGGAGAGGGCUAGCGUUAUUCGGAAUUAUUGGGCGUAAAGGGCGCGUAGGCUGGUUAAUAAGUUAAAAGUGAAAUCCCGAGGCUUAACCUUGGAAUUGCUUUUAAAACUAUUAAUCUAGAGAUUGAAAGAGGAUAGGGGAAUUCCUGAUGUAGAGGUAAAAUUCGUAAAUAUUAGGAGGAACACCAGUGGCGAAGGCGUCUAUCUGGUUCAAAUCUGACGCUGAAGCGCGAAGGCGUGGGGAGCAAACAGGAUUAGAUACCCUGGUAGUCCACGCUGUAAACGAUGAAUGUUAAAUAUGGGGAGUUUACUUUCUGUAUUACAGCUAACGCGUUAAACAUUCCGCCUGGGGACUACGGUCGCAAGAUUAAAACUCAAAGGAAUUGACGGGGACCCGCACAAGCGGUGGAGCAUGUGGUUUAAUUCGAUGCAACGCGAAAAACCUUACCACUUCUUGACAUGAA